RNAcentral lists this ribosomal RNA (253 nucleotides) under uncultured bacterium. Its description in RNAcentral is "partial 16S ribosomal RNA". It matches the Rfam family "Bacterial small subunit ribosomal RNA", at positions 524 to 776 of the family's 1533-position model. The record is from RNAcentral.
UACAGAGGAGCCAAGCGUUGUCCGGAUUGACUGGGCGUAAAGCGCACGCAGGCGGGGGUGUGCGGGGGGUGUGAAAUCGGGCCGCUUAACGGCCAGGCGCCAUUCCAUACGGCACGCCUGGAGGGCUGCAGAGGUCGAUGGAAUUGCCGGUGUAGUGGUGAAAUGCGUAGAGAUCGGCAGGAACACCCAGGGGGAAACCAGUCGACUGGGCAGCACCUGACGCUGAGGUGCGAGAGCGUGGGGAGCGAACCGG